Molecule: unclassified non-coding RNA, 281 nt
Organism: Erinaceus europaeus (western European hedgehog)
Lineage: Eukaryota; Metazoa; Chordata; Mammalia; Eulipotyphla; Erinaceidae
Gene: 7SK
Rfam family: 7SK RNA
About the family: 7SK was discovered as an abundant small nuclear RNA in the mid-70s but a possible function has only recently been suggested. Two independent studies have found that 7SK RNA binds the CDK9/cyclin T complex (known as elongation factor P-TEFb). P-TEFb activates transcription by phosphorylating the C-terminal domain of RNA polymerase II.
Source: Ensembl
GAAUGUGUGGGUGAUCUGGUUGCGACAUCUGUCACUCCAUUGGCCACCAGAGUUGAGUCUGCUGAUCUGGCUGGCUAGGAGGGUAUCCCCUUCCUCCCUCACUGAUCCAUGUACAUCCCUCCCCUAGCUGUGUGCUCAGAUAUAGGAUUGGUCUUCUGUCUAGGGUAUAUGAGUAGUGGUGCUCCCCUGCUAGAACCUCCAAACAAGCUAUCAAGGUCCAGUAGAGGAAAUGGGGACACAGAACUAUAGUACUGGAAUGGUGUAGAAUUAUACCCCUGUUA